Molecule: ribosomal RNA, 2285 nt
Filed under: Acinetobacter baumannii
Lineage: Bacteria; Pseudomonadati; Pseudomonadota; Gammaproteobacteria; Moraxellales; Moraxellaceae
Description: bacterial LSU rRNA
Rfam family: Bacterial large subunit ribosomal RNA
Source: RNAcentral
GAGUGAAAUAGAUCCUGAAACCGCAUGCAUACAAGCAGUGGGAGCACCUUCGUGGUGUGACUGCGUACCUUUUGUAUAAUGGGUCAGCGACUUAUAUUCAGUAGCAAGGUUAACCGUAUAGGGGAGCCGUAGAGAAAUCGAGUCUUAAUAGGGCGUUUAGUUGCUGGGUAUAGACCCGAAACCAGGCGAUCUAUCCAUGAGCAGGUUGAAGGUUGGGUAACACUAACUGGAGGACCGAACCCACUGUCGUUGAAAAGCCAGGGGAUGACUUGUGGAUAGGGGUGAAAGGCUAAUCAAGCCUGGUGAUAGCUGGUUCUCCCCGAAAGCUAUUUAGGUAGCGCCUCGGACGAAUACCAUAGGGGGUAGAGCACUGUUUCGGCUAGGGGGUCAUCCCGACUUACCAAACCGAUGCAAACUCCGAAUACCUAUGAGUACUAUCCGGGAGACAGACUGCGGGUGCUAACGUCCGUAGUCAAGAGGAAAACAAUCCAGACCGCCAGCUAAGGCCCCAAAAUCAUAGUUAAGUGGGAAACGAUGUGGGAAGGCAUAGACAGCUAGGAGGUUGGCUUAGAAGCAGCCACCCUUUAAAGAAAGCGUAAUAGCUCACUAGUCGAGUCGGCCUGCGCGGAAGAUGUAACGGGGCUAAAACUAUGUGCCGAAGCUGCGGAUUUGACAUUAGUCAAGUGGUAGGGGAGCGUUCUGUAAGCCGAUGAAGGUGUAUUGAGAAGUAUGCUGGAGGUAUCAGAAGUGCGAAUGCUGACGUGAGUAACGACAAAACGGGUGAAAAACCCGUUCGCCGAAAGACCAAGGGUUCCAGUCCAACGUUAAUCGGGGCUGGGUGAGUCGACCCCUAAGGCGAGGCCGAAAGGCGUAGUCGAUGGGAAAAUGGUUAAUAUUCCAUUACUUCUGUGUAAUGCGAUGAGAGGACGGAGAAGGCUAAAUCAGCCUGGCGUUGGUUGUCCAGGUGAAAGGAUGUAGGCAUGUAUCUUAGGCAAAUCCGGGGUACUCUAUGCUGAGAUCUGAUAGCAAGCUGUACUUGUACAGCGAAGUGGUUGAUGCCAUGCUUCCAGGAAAAGUCUCUAAGCUUCAGUUACACAGGAAUCGUACCCGAAACCGACACAGGUGGUCAGGUCGAGUAGACCAAGGCGCUUGAGAGAACUCUGCUGAAGGAACUAGGCAAAAUGGUACCGUAACUUCGGGAGAAGGUACGCUGUUGUUGGUGAUGGAACUCGCUUCCUGAGCUGACGACAGCCGCAGAAACCAGGCCGCUGCAACUGUUUAUUAAAAACAUAGCACUCUGCAAACACGAAAGUGGACGUAUAGGGUGUGAUGCCUGCCCGGUGCUGGAAGGUUAAUUGAUGGGGUUAGCGUAAGCGAAGCUCUUGAUCGAAGCCCCAGUAAACGGCGGCCGUAACUAUAACGGUCCUAAGGUAGCGAAAUUCCUUGUCGGGUAAGUUCCGACCUGCACGAAUGGCAUAAUGAUGGCGGCGCUGUCUCCAGCAGAGGCUCAGUGAAAUCGAAAUCGCUGUGAAGAUGCAGUGUACCCGCGGCUAGACGGAAAGACCCCGUGAACCUUUACUGCAGCUUGACACUGAACUUUGACCUUACUUGUGUAGGAUAGGUGGGAGGCUUUGAAGCUGGAACGCUAGUUCCAGUGGAGCCGUCCUUGAAAUACCACCCUGGUAAUGUUGAGGUUCUAACUCUGUCCCGUGAUCCGGGACGAGGACCGUGUCUGGUGGGUAGUUUGACUGGGGCGGUCUCCUCCUAAAGAGUAACGGAGGAGUACGAAGGUGCGCUCAGCGUGGUCGGAAAUCACGCGUAGAGUAUAAAGGCAAAAGCGCGCUUAACUGCGAGACCCACAAGUCGAGCAGGUACGAAAGUAGGUCUUAGUGAUCCGGUGGUUCUGUAUGGAAGGGCCAUCGCUCAACGGAUAAAAGGUACUCUGGGGAUAACAGGCUGAUACCGCCCAAGAGUUCAUAUCGACGGCGGUGUUUGGCACCUCGAUGUCGGCUCAUCUCAUCCUGGGGCUGAAGCAGGUCCCAAGGGUAUGGCUGUUCGCCAUUUAAAGAGGUACGCGAGCUGGGUUUAGAACGUCGUGAGACAGUUCGGUCCCUAUCUACCGUGGGCGCUGGAAAUUUGAGAGGAUCUGCUCCUAGUACGAGAGGACCAGAGUGGACGAACCUCUGGUGUACCGGUUGUGACGCCAGUCGCAUCGCCGGGUAGCUAUGUUCGGAAGGGAUAACCGCUGAAAGCAUCUAAGCGGGAAGCCUACCUCAAGAUAAGAU